GCUCUACGAACUUUUUAUCUAUUUUAUUCUAAAUCUAACUCAAAUCCUAUGAGCAUUAACCUCUUUAAUUCCACUUUGAAAAAAGUAUAAGCUUUAGGAGACAGUCAGCAAAGGAAGAAACAACUUGGUCAGCAAAGGAAGAAACAAUGAUGACACCUAGCCUUCUCAGUGCGCCCCUUUAUGUUCCAGUGUUCUCUGCAAAUUUCUUCUCUUUAUUGUCCUCCGUGGUUCCUUUGCAGUCUCCUUUGAUUUCAAACUCGGUACAGUCGACAGAGCCAAAUAUCUACUCUCCGAGGCGCCCGGGCCCUCCACCCUUUACUAAAUUGAAACACCCUCUGCUACUGGAGCACUACUGCUUCUGUGACAGAAAAUCUCACGUAAAAAUGGGGCAUGAAUAGUUAUUAUGUACUCCUACCAGCAACUCUUUUAUUCCAGUGAAAUCACACAUAAGCUAUGUACCAUGUUAUUAAGAUGAACUUUUUGUGCUUGAGAGCUAUGCAUGCAACCACCAAGCGAUUAGGGGGUAUUAUUUUUUGCCUUAAGAGACUUUGUGUUUUUAAGUUAACUUGUGUUGCUCGCUUUCAUGGAUCUAGGAGAUAACAGACGAGGUAUCAGCCUCAGGUAGCUCACUAGCUAGAUUAACUCCGACCGUGCUCUUUGAUGUAUAAGUCAGAAAGGGUUUGAAGUGGGAACAAAUUAAGGAAGAAGAAAGAAUAUAGAGAUAGUGUCUCCUAGCUAAGAUGAUCUUUGCAUUACCUUUUCGUAGAGGGCUUCUAGAUUUUUUUAUAACGAAGACCUCGAAUCUUCUAAGAUAGCAUCUUAAUAAAUUCGAGACCGUAAUAUAUAUUAAUAUGGCACAACAAUCUUGAGGACAUGCUAUAACAACUUGGCAUGCAAUGGUAUUGCUAGAGCCUCAUGCAUAUUUGGGUAGAAGAGCUAAAUCUACUCCGUAGUAAGAAUAUUCCAUUUGGCUUGGACCGAUGAUCAUGCUGACCGGUUGUUGGGUCGGUUUGAAUUAUCUCAGCUUUGCAGACCAAUUACUCCUAAUCUACUCAUUCCAACAUCAGAUUGGCAAAGAAAAAAAAAAAGAGAGGAUUGCGACUAAAAUAUCUUGAAGAAUUUUUGAACAGAUACGGAGUUGUCAUGAGCUAGAUAAAUACCAUGCAAUCAUGUUUGUUGGAUGCCAUAUUACCAUGGAAAAAAUAGGUACAGUUGGAAGUGUAUUUAAUAUGAGCUGGUCCAACCCAUGGGCUCUACCUUGGAAUGGAUGCAUUGCAUGGUUUGCCGAAGUGACGGUGUUGAUAUCACAAACGUGAUGCUUCCUCUAUAGGCCCUGCUUCAUUUGUCGUUUCCUCCAGAGGCUUAAAAUUUUGAUCGAUCCGUCCAACAGAUCCAUCAGCAUACCGCCCUGUUGCCGCUUUAAAGUUUGAUCUUUUAGGAAUGGUUGGUUGCGUUGGUGGUAGGUUAUGACCCAGUGUUUAAAUUUCUUCUCAAGGACAGAACAGACCCUUCAUCACCGGCUAAGGUUCGAGCUUAGGUUCAGGG
This 1545-nucleotide long non-coding RNA is filed under the name Elaeis guineensis (African oil palm). RNAcentral's name for it is "long non-coding RNA (EGUI_LNC022116)". Lineage: Eukaryota; Viridiplantae; Streptophyta; Magnoliopsida; Arecales; Arecaceae. The record is from RNAcentral.